CGAUUAAUAGAUAUUAACUUAUCCUGUGCUUUCUUGAGGAAAGUGGUAUCUUGUACGAAAAAAUGUCAAGAACAAGGCCCUAAGAAAAGGAAAUAUAGCAUAUGAUAUGGGCUAAUGACAGUUGCUGCCCCUGAAUAUCUGUAUCCUCCAGCCUAUUCCAAGAUCACUGAUCACACUGGAAUCAUCUGUUUACUUUCUUUUUGCUAGACUGGACUCUGAGCUCCUUAAUGGCUGGGGCAUGCAUUUGUCCCCACAGCCCCAAUCCACAGCACCGUGCCUGGCUCAGAGUAUGUCUCAUGAAUGAGUUAAUGAUAACAAUCAUGGCCCAGAGAUUCUGCCUGAUUCUCAUACAUCUAAAAGAAAAUGAAUCAAUUUUGUAAUCAUGGAUUGGUGCUGUCAGUGCCUGAUGGAUGAAGGGGACGGAUCAGAAUGGACUGGAGGGGAUUGGAUCUGCCUUGCAAAUCAUGAGGGAAUCCCAGGGAAAGAAAACACUCCUCGGACUGAUAGUGAGGUGAUUGUCUCUACAUACAGAUGAGAUACAUGAGACACUGAGAAAUGGAUACCACUGAGGUCAUGGCCAGGAGGUGGCAGUGCAAAGAUUCCUACCCAAGCUUCCUCAUCUGUGAACAGAACAGGAAGGCCUCGGUAAAUAGGUACAUGUUGACAAGCAACAACCUACUCAAAACUCAUCUUUUUGUAUUAAUGCAUCAUGUGACUCCCUCGUUUGGACUUCUGCAGGAACAUGUCAGAUCAGUCAAGUUGCAUUUGCAGAAAACGGAAACCACCCUGGGAAAGGAUAAGUGGUUCUAAUAUAGAGAACUAAGUGCUGAAAAAAAUGGGCUACAGGAAUAUUCUCUAGUCUGUGUCUUCAGGAAUUACUUCUGGAACUGCACCUUAACACUGGCUGACCAAGGACAAACUGGCUACUAUAAAAGGAAAGUGGGUGGUGAGGACCAACCACAGGAAGUGGUAACUGCAAGUGCACUCUGUCAUCACCGUGAUGCAAGGAUCAGGAAGCCCUCUAGUGAUAACUGCCCAUGCACAUAUAAGAAGGGAGGAAGGGACACUGCUCAGAAGACGCCAGCAUCUCCACAAGACCAUUCUUGCCAGCAACAACUUCCAAAAGUAUAGAAAACUGCAUUGUAAUCAGAUUCCAUUUUCCAAAUCUUGAAAGAGGGCAUCUAAUUAGUAGACCAAGAUUCACAGAAUUCAAGGAAACAUAGUUUGCAGCUUCCUUCUGUACCAGAAAGCACAGAGAAAUAGAAUGAGUAGUGCUUACAGGGACAGCUCAUGGGUUGCUUUCUAAUUGGAAAUUUACUAAUCUUUACAGGUGAAUAUUUUUUAAAGAUCCCUCAUUUUAAUUUGCAUGAUUCCUCUGGAGCCAUCACUAUACUUUUGGCCAAAAUUAUUUAUCUGAUUCAGUUGUCCAGAGGGUUCACUACAAGUACAUUUUCACACAAGGAUUCUAGCCUGAAUUUAUUUAACUGACAUUUCAAACUAUGUACUUCAUGAUAUUCCACCAACAUAUUUCAAAGCUAUUGUUAGGUAUAACAUUUUACCUGUUAUUUCAUGGGAAAGGUACACACACCCCAUAUAUCUUUUCUCUUCAUUAUCACCUUAAUUUUAUUUAAGAAAUUUUUAAUCUACAUGGUUUGAAUUAUCUCCUUUGUUAAGACAAGGUAACUCAAUUACAAGAAACAGAAAGUUCCCCAUAUGAUACUGGGCAGAUAUAGGUUAUUAAAACUGGUACUAGCAGGAAAGGGAGUGUGAGUACUUUGCAUAUAAUCACGUACAAUUUGGAGAAAGUGUUCUUAAAGCCCUUGGUUCAGUGGGGACCUGGGAAAAAAUAGUGGACUCUUGACUGUCAGUUCAGUAGCAUAAUGAGUCUAAGCACAUUCUGAGUGCUAGUUCUUAAAAAGAAAUAAAAAGCAAGAAAACUUUGCUUCAGGUGAUCCUAAAAUGUAGCAAAGGAACUCUGCAGCACUUCUGGGAAAAUUGCUGAUUGGCAUGAAAAAGAAUUAAGUGCUUUUCUCAUACCUGCAUGCAAUUUUAACUGUUCUAUGAAGCUUAAAUGCUGUUCAAAAUGCCUCGAAGAGAAUCAGGGAAGUUUUGUGCAAGCAAGAAAAGAUUCUAUGAAGCUGAAGAGAAAGCUGCUAUUUUGCAUUGCCCUAGUGUUUGUUUUAAAAUCUAUAAAUUUGGGGAAAAAUAAGUAGAAAGCAUCAAUAAGUAGAAUAAAUCAAUAGUCUAUAAUUUCGAUUGCAUUUUACAAUGGAAUCAAUACUUCUGCUUUCAGUAAAUAGAAAACUCCUGAUCAUAACCCUUUCUUUGGAGUGUUCUGUAAACUAUGCAAUGCUUAGUUAGCAUGCAUUUGUUUUUCUCUACAAAAGCCUGAUGACAAUUAUGUGUUUUAUGCCCUCUCAAAAAUUAAGCAAAAAUUAAAUAUCUACCCAAAAUAUUUUAUUUUAGAAUUGUUUAAUCUUUACAUCUCAGUAAGUGUUGACUAUAUCUAUGCAUUAAAUUGUCUUAAGAACAAUAAUAUUUCUGCCUAUUUCAAAUACUAUACAAUUGAGCCUGCCACAAGAACUGUUAUUGGCCAGAAAGAAAAUAAGAUUCACGAUAAAUACAUGAAUAAAGGCAGCAUCAUAAUUUCUAUUCCAUUAUAGACAGACUGAGUCAGUGACAAGAGGAGCUAAAGUACAAAAUGUGGUCAGCUGGCCCAGCUAGCUUAAAACCUAGUUGUUUUUCUUUGCUUGAAUGGUCAAGAUCUCUUAUGACAAAUUUUGAAUUACAAGAGAAUGUUCAGUGUUACCAGUCUUAUUUGUUAUUUAUUAAGUUCUUUGAAUAGAUUUUUUUAAAAGUUGACUGGUGUGAGUCUCAAAGAAACCUGAGGGAUAGUUUAGGGUACAUGUAGGAAGGUAUUGAAAAGAUUUUUACUGAAUGAAGGAUAGAUUGGGAUGUUGGAAUGAGGAAGCAGAAGUACAAAUUCCAGGGAGGAUUACAUUCUAGUAAAAUGUCAGUUUCCAAAGGUCAGUGCCAUCCAGUCUUUCCAUGAGCCAUUUUCUGUGCAAUAAGCAUGACUCCUGGGCAUGAUAGGAUAGAGUUUUAUAAGAUUUCCUUUCUCUCAUGCAUCAUAUUUAAAGUUUCUUUUCUAAAAGGGAAGAAAGGUGCGUAUCUGUGCCACAAGGAGUGGCUGACUCCAGCACAGUAACCUCAAGGGUAGCACCUUCAAUGUUGAUGAGGUUGGACUUAGCUGCUGGUUCUGGAAAGACAAAAGUGGACUAGAGGCUGUUGAUAAGUUGGCUACUCCUCCCUUGUUUUUAGUUUCAUUUCAGGUCAAGAAGUAGCCAUUGGUCACCACGUCUGUAACAUGCACUGUGCUGUGUGUUGGGCGUACAAAGAAGGAGAAUCUGCAGUCCUCUUCCUAAAGGAGUGCAUAGUGAUUUCAGUCCCAGGCGGUAAAGGCAGAGAAGUUUGCUCAGGGCUAUAGGGAAGGUCAGAGACAAUCCUCUGGCUCACCUGAGAGGUUCAGAAUAAGCUUUGAAGAGGAGAUGGUGCUGAGCUGAAUUUUCCACAAUGAGUUAACCACAUGAAAAAGCUGACAAAGGUCCAGGUGUAGUGGCUCAUGCCUGUAACCCCAGCACUUUGGGAAACCGAGGUGGGUGGAUCACAUGAGGGCAGGAGUUCAAAAUCAACCUGGCCAACAUGGUGAAACCCCAUCUCUACUAAAAAUACAAAAAAAUUAGCCAGGUAUGGUGGUGUGUGCCUGUAGUCCCAGCUGCUUGGGAGGCUGAGGCAUGAGAAUCGCUUGAACCUGAGAGGCAGUGGCUGCAGUGUGCUGAGAUCACACCACUGCACUCCAGCUUGGGUGACAGAGUAAGGCUCUGUCAAAAAAAAAAAAAAUGCUGACAAAGGCAAUCAGUAAAAUUAGUAAGAAAUAGCAUCAAUAGAAAACAGGUUUUACAAGCAACUUGGUAUAACUAAAUUUAAAAAUGUAAGGUGAGAAAUGUAGGUGACAAAGGCCAAGUCUUUGGUAGCAAGCUAUUUACAGUAUUUUAUCUACAAAUUGUUCCAACAUGUCACGUUUGCUACUUUAUUGAAAUGUUUGAUUGCAUAACAUGGAGAAUGUGCAGUGUGAGAUGAUGCCAUAUUUUCACUCUCUAAGACCUCGGAAGACUAAGCAGCUUUAAUCACCUAGAGUUUCAGUCAUUUCAGUGAAUAUUCAUAGAAAUAGAGGUGACCAACCAGCAGCGAGCUCAAGUGGCUGCAUCUACAGAGUGGGUUAGGAAUGUGGUGAGGUGUUUGGCAGUGGAGCGGUAGGCAGUGUGGGCAAUGCUGUCUGAAAGGUUAUCUCUCUAGUCUCCAUGGGGAUACAUGAAAAACUAAAAUAUAGAUAAUAACAUUCAUUCAUUCAUUUAUUUAUUCCUUUUUUAGAGACGGGGUCUUGCUAUGUUGCCCAGAAUGGAAUGCAGUGUCUCUUCACCGGCACCAUCCUGGCAUGCUAUAGCCUCAAACUCCUGGGCUCAAGCAUCAUCCUGCCUCAGCCUCCCAAUUAGCUGGGACUACAGGUGUGCAUCACUGUGCAGAGCUAAUAAUGUCCUUUCUGUAUGAAUUAUCGAGACUCAAGAAAGCACUUUGAUAGGGGAAGUGAAUACACUGGGGACAAUUAGUGGGUGGAUGUGUCUGAAGUGAGAGUAAGGCUCUCUUCAGCUGCAGCAUGAAAAUAAGGUGACCAGUUGAGGUCCUGGUUUUCCAGCUGAGCUCUCAAUCUCGUCUCACAAGACUGAUAAAAACGAUAUCUUUAGUUUUCCAGGACUGGCUAGAAACAAUGCAGGGAUAUUAUCAACAUCUCGUUAUUUUGUUCUCAUAAUUAUUUGAUUAAUGAUAAUGACUCAGCUGCUUUGUAAUACUAUGUAUGUCUUUUAUUAGCCUUAUAACUUCCCUUAACAGUAUAGGGACCUUGAUUUCUUAGUUUUGCCAAGAGAGCAAUAAACUCACAGUCAAGUUACUUUUUUAGAAUGUGUAUAGUUCCCAGGUGAAGGGAAUUUCAGUUCACUUAGAUAUCCUUUAAUUUUCACAUUCAUUCCAGCCUCAUUUCUACUCUGCAUAUGUCUCCAGUAUAUUUUUGCUCAUGACACAGAAAUAUCAGUUCCAUUCUUUGCUGGAAUUAACAAACAGCAAAAUAUCUCACCUGCUGGACAGAAUGCAUUGAUCUGCUAUUUUCUAUCUGUCCUAGAACCUCUUGUAGCACCAUUGUUUAACACAUUCUUGGAUUCAUAUUUAGAGCAUCAGGCUAAUUCAUGUUUGCUGAUUUGCAUAUGAAGGCUAGAUGUUAAAGUAGAAUUUAAAAUAUUUGGUUAUAUCUACUGUUUUUACCCUCUCUAAUUUAGUAGAACGUUUCUGGAUGUCAUAUUGUGUGGUUUAGUUAACUAUUAUGCACCAAUUAUACUAAUGUUUAAAUAAUAGUUUAACAUAUUUUUAACAAUGUUUAACUUAUUAUUUGUAGUAUAUAACCAGGAGAAAGUCUUCAGUUAUACAGUAAUUUAUCUUUCUUUCAUAAAGCUAAAAAGAUGUUAAUUUGCAUGAUUUUAGCUGAGUUUUCAGUGUGGACUUUGCUUCUGAAUUGUGUCCAAGGCUCUGAGUCGGUUUUAAGACCUUACAUCUGCAUGGUGCUUUGCCGUUUAAGAAGGAAUUCCACAUUAAUCUUCAGCUCUGAUUAUUCAAGUUCAUCCCGGUUCCUGUUACAGUCACUGCUUGAAUAAAUGAAUGAACCAAAACCAGAAUUGACUUUGGUUUUCCUAACAUUGUGAGUUUGUUGGAACAGAUAUCAUUAUUAUGGAAUAAUGUGAUUUUGUAAUAUUAUAUAAUAUAAUUAUUGUAUUUUUCAGAUAAAACAGCUGCUAAAAUUUAUUUGUACAGCUGACCUUGGAAUAACACAGGUCUUAACUGCAUGGAUCUAUGUAUGCAUGGAUUUUUUUUUCAAUAAAAUUACACUAACUGUGCCUGCCUCUCCCGCUUCCCCUUCCACCUCCUUCAUCCUUUCUUCCUCUGUCACCUCUGAGAUAACAAGGCCAACCCCUCCCCUUUCUCUUUCUCUUCAUUUGAAGACAAGGAAGUUGAAGACUUUUAUGAGGAUCUGCUUUCACUUAAUGAAUAGUAAAUAUAUUUUCUCUUCCUUUUGAUUUUCUUAAUGACGUUUUCUUUUUUCUAGCUUACUUGAUGGUAAGAUAAAGUCUAUAAUACAUAUAACAUACAAGAUCUAUGUUAAUCGACUGUUUUUGUUAUUCCCAAAGCUUCUGGUCAACAGUAAGCUAUUAGUAGUUAAGUUUUGGGGGAGUCAAAAAGUUACACAUGGAUUUUCUACUGUGCGGGGUUCGGCACCCCUAAUUCUUGCAUUGUUCAAGAAUCAGUUGUAUUACACUUUCUAGUUACAAUGCAUUUAACAUCUUGUGCUAUUUAAAACAACCCUGUCAGGCAGGAGGAGAAAAAUGAUUAUCUCUGUCUAGCAGAUAAGAAAAGUGAAAUUCAAAGGUCAAUGACCAUCUCCAAAUCACAGUGCAACAGCAUUGCUAAGACCUGAAUUCAGUCUGUUUCAUCAUAGUUCGCUGCUCUUUUAAAAAUUCCACCGUGCCUCUUAGGGCAUAUUAAUCACCAUGUGUGGGAGUGGGUGGGGGCUGUCAGAGGGGCAGCAUCUGGAGUUUUACCUGGUCAGGACAGAAGUCCUCCUCCCUGCUGGAAUGAUGAGCCUCUGUGCUUUGUUCCUUCUCUGCAGUGUGGCCAAAGUGAUGGGCUUUUACAAAAGGGCACCAUGGGGCAUUUUCGGGGUAGCUUGGGAUGGUGAUUGGGAGUAGCUCACAUGACACAUGUUAGGAUGUUGCCAAACUCAUUUUGGCAAGGCUAUUUGAUAGUAAAAGGAUAUAACGCUAGCAGCCUCUGUUGUCCAACACCAGGGAGAUAAUUCUUCUGUUCUUAUCCAGCAUGGUGCCAAGCUCUACGGGAACAAAAUGGAAGAAGGAGGAGGCAGAAAACGAAGCCCUCAGGUCCCUUAGGUUCAGGAAUGCACAUAAUUAAUGCCUUCCUUGACCCUUAGGAAAGCCAGAGCGCUAAGCAUUGGGAAUAUUUUACAUUAAC
This 7128-nucleotide long non-coding RNA is filed under the name Homo sapiens (human). RNAcentral describes it as "HSALNT0037335". The record is from RNAcentral. Lineage: Eukaryota; Metazoa; Chordata; Mammalia; Primates; Hominidae.